RNAcentral lists this ribosomal RNA (479 nucleotides) under uncultured Streptococcus sp. RNAcentral's name for it is "bacterial SSU rRNA". It matches the Rfam family "Bacterial small subunit ribosomal RNA", at positions 900 to 1382 of the family's 1533-position model. The record is from RNAcentral. Lineage: Bacteria; Bacillati; Bacillota; Bacilli; Lactobacillales; Streptococcaceae.
CUCAAAUGAAUUGAGGGGCCCGCACAAGCGUGGAGCAUGUGGUUUAAUUCGAAGCAACGCGAAGAACCUUACCAGGUCUUGACAUCCCGAUGCUAUUUCUAGAGAUAGAAAGUUACUUCGGUACAUCGGUGACAGGUGGUGCAUGGUUGUCGUCAGCUCGUGUCGUGAGAUGUUGGGUUAAGUCCCGCAACGAGCGCAACCCCUAUUGUUAGUUGCCAUCAUUCAGUUGGGCACUCUAGCGAGACUGCCGGUAAUAAACCGGAGGAAGGUGGGGAUGACGUCAAAUCAUCAUGCCCCUUAUGACCUGGGCUACACACGUGCUACAAUGCCCACUACAAAGCGAUGCCACCCGGCAACGGGGAGCUAAUCGCAAAAAGGUGGGCCCAGUUCGGAUUGGGGUCUGCAACCCGACCCCAUGAAGCCGGAAUCGCUAGUAAUCGCGGAUCAGCCAUGCCGCGGUGAAUACGUUCCCGGGCCUU